RNAcentral lists this ribosomal RNA (1017 nucleotides) under uncultured bacterium. RNAcentral describes it as "bacterial SSU rRNA". It matches the Rfam family "Bacterial small subunit ribosomal RNA", at positions 357 to 1376 of the family's 1533-position model. The record is from RNAcentral.
AGGAAUAUUGGUCAAUGGACGCAAGUCUGAACCAGCCAUGCCGCGUGCAGGAUGACGGCUCUAUGAGUUGUAAACUGCUUUUGUACGAGGGUAAACGCAGAUACGUGUAUCUGUCUGGAAGUAUCGUACGAAUAAGGAUCGGCUAACUCCGUGCCAGCAGCCGCGGUAAUACGGAGGAUUCAAGCGUUAUCCGGAUUUAUUGGGUUUAAAGGGUGCGUAGGCGGUUUGAUAAGUUAGAGGUGAAAUUUCGGGGCUCAACCCUGAACGUGCCUCUAAUACUGUUGAGCUAGAGAGUAGUUGCGGUAGGCGGAAUGUAUGGUGUAGCGGUGAAAUGCUUAGAGAUCAUACAGAACACCGAUUGCGAAGGCAGCUUACCAAACUAUAUCUGACGUUGAGGCACGAAAGCGUGGGGAGCAAACAGGAUUAGAUACCCUGGUAGUCCACGCAGUAAACGAUGAUAACUCGUUGUCGGCGAUACACAGUCGGUGACUAAGCGAAAGCGAUAAGUUAUCCACCUGGGGAGUACGUUCGCAAGAAUGAAACUCAAAGGAAUUGACGGGGGCCCGCACAAGCGGAGGAACAUGUGGUUUAAUUCGAUGAUACGCGAGGAACCUUACCCGGGCUUGAAAGUUAGCGACGAUUCUUGAAAGAGGAUUUCCCUUCGGGGCGCGAAACUAGGUGCUGCAUGGUUGUCGUCAGCUCGUGCCGUGAGGUGUCGGGUUAAGUCCCAUAACGAGCGCAACCCCUACCGUUAGUUGCCAUCAGGUGAAGCUGGGCACUCUGGCGGGACUGCCGGUGUAAGCCGAGAGGAAGGUGGGGAUGACGUCAAAUCAGCACGGCCCUUACGUCCGGGGCUACACACGUGUUACAAUGGUAGGUACAGAGGGCAGCUACCCAGCGAUGGGAUGCGAAUCUCGAAAGCCUAUCUCAGUUCGGAUUGGAGGCUGAAACCCGCCUCCAUGAAGUUGGAUUCGCUAGUAAUCGCGCAUCAGCCAUGGCGCGGUGAAUACGUUCCCG